GGUUCUGGGAUGCAGAGCAAACAGGGAGCUAAUGGAAGCACUCAGGAUGAUAGAAUUCUAACUUCAUGAAAACAUGUUUGAUUGUGGGUCCCAGUAAAGAUGUCCCAGUUCUCGGCCAGAAUCUUUUCUGAAGACUGAGCUGGAGGAGGUACCCGUUCUGGAAUGGUCUCAAAUGCAACCUGCAGGUUUGGCCCCCUGGAGGAAGUGAGAAGAAUGGAGAUGAACACGUUUCUUGUGUCAUGUCCUCAUUCUGCCCAAGACACACCUACCCGGACCAUGCCGUCUUGACUCCCGGUGAUGAUGAUCUGGCUUGUGUCCCAUGCUGGGCCCUCCAUCAGGCAGCAGCAGGUUAUGGCUCCUUCUGGGCCCCAGGCUGUGGUGAUGCUGGCCAGGGGCUGUCCAUUGACAUUCCACAGGGACAAGUGUGCUCCCGCACAGGAGACAAUGGUGCCCUGUGCAGUGAGAGCUGGCAUCACUCUAAGCUGGAGUCACUGCCUGCCCAUCAGCCACUUGCUCAGCUACCCAGUUGGUACACCCAAGUACUCUCAAUCUGUCAUGCUCUGAAGACCCCCAAGGUACCCCAAAACUUCUUUCCAGCUGACUUACAGGUCUGCUGUGUUUUCACACAGUUGUAAAUUCUUGGUUCUUUUCAUACUGCAGUCAUGUGCUUAGAUACUUCUUUCCUGGCAGAAGGC
RNAcentral lists this long non-coding RNA (695 nucleotides) under Homo sapiens (human). RNAcentral's name for it is "non-protein coding lnc-VSTM4-1:4". The record is from RNAcentral. Lineage: Eukaryota; Metazoa; Chordata; Mammalia; Primates; Hominidae.